UAUGUGCAAUGUGCCUCCACCCAAGCUAUUUAGAGCCCAAUACUCUAAUCGCUUAAGAAAUACCCUACCCCUGUAGUGGUCGGUAUGUGAUGUAACCAGAUAGGACUAUGCACAUUUACCUAUCGUACCUUUCCUUUGUGAUUUCAGGCUCUUCCACAGAUACGGAGACAGUUCCACCGGAGGGGGAGUAUAUAGAGGAGCACAGGGGUCUGUACAAGGACGUGAUGAUGGAGAAUCACCGGCCCCUCACAUCACUGGAUGGACCCAGUAACAGAGAUACCCCAGAGAGAUGUCCCCGUCCUCUGUAUUCCCAGGAUUGUACAGAGGAGAAUCACAGGAUCCCACAGGAGG
This is a long non-coding RNA of Pseudophryne corroboree (corroboree frog), 351 nucleotides long. RefSeq lists it as uncharacterized. The transcript is spliced from 3 exons. The record is from RefSeq and is a predicted model, not a curated record. Lineage: Eukaryota; Metazoa; Chordata; Amphibia; Anura; Myobatrachidae.